CACGGAUUUUUAGAAAUUCAGCCAUGCAAUUAUACUCCCCCUUUGUGAUGGAGAGUAUUGCAUGGCCGAACGUUGCACAUGUUUUGUGCUUUUUAACCUGUGAAGUAAGAUAAUUAUGAAUAAGUGUAUGACUAUAUAUAUAUAAACAGACAAAUGCAAACAAAACAAUGACUACUACAACCCUCACACAAAUGUCAUGGCCAUCUCUGCCCUCUUUAAAGGAAUGAAAUUCCUCCACGGUGAGGUUCAUGGUUUCUCCUGGCCUGUGACCAGAGGUUACAAUCAUGACCGCACCGAGGAGGCCAAAGAACAGGUCCAGCUGCCUCUGAUCAUGAUGUAGUUUUUCUAAAACAUAAUGAAAACAAAUCAUUCAACACAAUGAAAACCAUUAACUAUGAAAUCAAACUCUUAAUCCACUUUUGUAUUUUGUUGUCUGGAAUCGACCAAAAGCCUUGUAACUUACGCAGUAUUUUGGGAAGCACCUCCGAAGUGGCCCUCACAAACUCAGCAUGGGCAGCUGGAUCCAAAAGGUUUUCUGAUUUAAAAAAAGAGGUAGUUUGAUUAAGCACACCGCAGACGGUGAAGUCCUUUAGGAACUCCAAACACCGACCACACGCAAAGCAAAACCGAGUUAAGCUGCUCAUGUGUUUGCCACAAAACAGGCAAAACAUCCCUCGGUCGCCAUAAACUUUAAGUCAUUUAUUCCACAAUACGAAUUUAACACACUCACCAAAAACAACAACACCUUUCACCACGUCACUUCCGAUCUGUGGUACAUUCCCUUUCCGUGAAGAAUCUGUCAUUGUAAAUUUGUUUCGUCCUUGGUAAAAGUGUUUUCCCCGUGUAAUUGUGUUUAAUGAUUGGUAAAAAUGUUUUCCAAAAUGUAAAUUUUGUCUCGAGCUUUGUAAAAGUGUUUCACACUUUGUAAUGUUGUCUUGGACUUCCCGGCCACGGUAUAGAAGUGAGGAGAUCUUCAACGAGCAGUCCACAGAGUAGAGGAACAGGCUGAUCACUGUCGAAGGGCAGGACCCAUCUGCUAAAGAUCUCACCAGAUUUCAAUAAGUGGACCUCGGGCUGCCAGGCCUGCCUGUUUUUCAGCUCCUCUUUUGAGCACAUUUUUAUUAUAAGAAGAGCCCGUUUAACGGCUUUCUUGGACACUCUCAGCCCAUCGGGGCCUGCCUCCUUCACCCAAUUAAUAAAGUGGGAAAGGUCCACUAAUUUGUGCACCAUUGUGGUGGCCCGAUAAUUGUGGUGUUCUUUUAGCGUUUUGAUAUAGCUGAAAAAAAUAAGACAGACAAAAUGGAUCAGCCAUCUUCAGUGUGAGUUGGAUGAAUGUGUGUGUUUUCUUAAUUUCUAGAGCACAGACAGCAGAAAUAUUAAUGUCAGAGUUUAUCAAUACUACUGAACUACUUUCAUAAUUUAGCCCCGGGACUGAUUAAAUACCAGGUUUUGUUACCCAUUCCCAAAGUUUAACCAGAUUUCUUUCACAACACACAUUUUAAAACAACUACAUAUUACAAAGUCAUCUUCCAUUUGUCAAGUAAGUGUUUUAAAAUUAUCAAACGACAGCAAAUUACCCCCCCC
Molecule: long non-coding RNA, 1584 nt
Organism: Carassius auratus (goldfish)
Lineage: Eukaryota; Metazoa; Chordata; Actinopteri; Cypriniformes; Cyprinidae
Source: Ensembl